GAGAGAGAAAAAAACCUCUAUCUCCCCAUCCAGUGAAAAUGAGAAUGUGCAUUUCCAAGGAUCCAGUGCAGAGUUCUUUAAAAGAGGUGAUUAUUGAAGAUUCCACAAAUCUGAAGGGUGCCAGAUUGUGUAGGUUUAAUACAGCAAAUUGCAUAGAAGAAUUUCUGUGUCUGAAAGUAACAAGAGAGCCAAUUAAGCUGUAUUCCAUUACUGAACUGUUACAUUCUGCAGAUUGGAAAGAAGCCCCAUAGAGUCAUGCAGGGGAGAGUGCUUAUGUAUUCUCAUGCUUACUGCUCAGGCUUGCAACAAUUCAUGCUGUCCAGAGUUCUUCUGCAAAUAUUUGGAACAGUUGGCUACCCAGGGAGGUGGAGAAGAUUAAAAUGGACUUCAUGACCUUGACAGGGCUGGCUCCAACUUUUUUCUCUGAUGAAGAAAAGAGAAAUAAUC
This is a long non-coding RNA of Pantherophis guttatus, 447 nucleotides long. RefSeq lists it as uncharacterized. The record is from RefSeq and is a predicted model, not a curated record. Lineage: Eukaryota; Metazoa; Chordata; Lepidosauria; Squamata; Colubridae.